Molecule: ribosomal RNA, 464 nt
Filed under: uncultured bacterium
Lineage: Bacteria
Description: partial 16S ribosomal RNA
Rfam family: Bacterial small subunit ribosomal RNA
Source: RNAcentral
GACGAACGCUGGCGGCGUGCUUAACACAUGCAAGUCGAACGGAAAGGCCCCUUUGGGGGUACUCGAGUGGCGAACGGGUGAGUAACACGUGAGUAACCUGCCCUUGACUUCGGGAUAACUUCAGGAAACUGGGGCUAAUACCGGAUAGGAAUCCUUGCUGCAUGGUGGGGGUUGGAAAGCUUCGGCGGUUUUGGAUGGACUCGCGGCUUAUCAGCUUGUUGGUGGGGUAGUGGCUUACCAAGGCUUUGACGGGUAGCCGGCCUGAGAGGGCGACCGGCCACAUUGGGACUGAGAUACGGCCCAGACUCCUACGGGAGGCAGCAGUGGGGAAUAUUGCAAAUGGGCGGAAGCCUGAUGCAGCAACGCCGCGGGCGGGAUGACGGCCUUCGGGUUGUAAACCGCUUUCAGCAGGGGCGAAGCUUGUGGUGACGGUACCUGCAGAAGAAGCACCGGCUAACUACAUG